Molecule: long non-coding RNA, 467 nt
Filed under: Fukomys damarensis (Damara mole-rat)
Lineage: Eukaryota; Metazoa; Chordata; Mammalia; Rodentia; Bathyergidae
Description: lncRNA (ENSFDAG00000030216.1)
Source: RNAcentral
UAAUUUUGUUCAAGCAUAUUUAAUAAUUUUAUCGCGGAAAGGCGUCCUCCCGCCUCCCAGCCGCGCACCUGGCGGUUGUGCGGGGACCCCGCCUCGGUAACGGCGCCUCCGCUCUACCCGAGCACCUCGCGGAGAGCCGAGGCUUCGGUGCGUGCCGCGUCUGCUCCGCUACCGCAGCUCCUCCCCUGGGAAGAAGAAUCUGUAAAGGGCUGUUGGAACUGAUAUACUCUAAUUAUGGGAUUUCAAAGAAAAGACCCCAACAGAAAAGAGGCUGAAAAGGAACAGGAGAAGGACUUGGAAAAGGACAAGAUGUGACCAUUUCAGGCAAAAAAUCUUAACCUAAUGGAUUCUAAGAGGAAGAAGACUGCUACAAUGAUGUGAGAUAAUCUUCUGACUGUGCCUGACAUAUCCCACCAUAGAUUCUCAUCUUUAAAAAUGCCUUCCUCUUUUUCCUUUUUUUGUCUAUG